UAAUAAUAAAUGUGGAAUAUUUAAUGGUUAC
Molecule: non-coding RNA, 31 nt
Filed under: Mus musculus (house mouse)
Lineage: Eukaryota; Metazoa; Chordata; Mammalia; Rodentia; Muridae
Source: RNAcentral